CCUACGGGAGGCAGCAGUAGGGAAUAUUGCUCAAUGGGGGAAACCCUGAAGCAGCAACGCCGCGUGGAGGAUGAAGGUUUUCGGAUUGUAAACUCCUUUUGUUAGAGAAGAUAAUGACGGUAUCUAACGAAUAAGCACCGGCUAACUCCGUGCCAGCAGCCGCGGUAAUACGGAGGGUGCAAGCGUUACUCGGAAUCACUGGGCGUAAAGAGCGCGUAGGCGGGAUAGCAAGUCAGAGGUGAAAUACUAUGGCUUAACCAUAGAACUGCAUUUGAAACUGUUACUCUAGAGUAUGGGAGUGGUCGGUGGAAUUCGUGGUGUAGGGGUAAAAUGCGUAGAGAUCAAGAAGAAUACUGAUUGCGAAGGCGACCUGCUAGAACAUAACUGACGCUGAUGUGCGAAAGCGUGGGGAGCAAACAGGAUUAGAUACCCGUGUAGUC
This 440-nucleotide ribosomal RNA is filed under the name uncultured bacterium. RNAcentral describes it as "partial 16S ribosomal RNA". It matches the Rfam family "Bacterial small subunit ribosomal RNA", at positions 338 to 795 of the family's 1533-position model. The record is from RNAcentral.